This 444-nucleotide ribosomal RNA is filed under the name Escherichia coli. RNAcentral's name for it is "bacterial SSU rRNA". It matches the Rfam family "Bacterial small subunit ribosomal RNA", at positions 1088 to 1532 of the family's 1533-position model. Lineage: Bacteria; Pseudomonadati; Pseudomonadota; Gammaproteobacteria; Enterobacterales; Enterobacteriaceae. The record is from RNAcentral.
CGCAACGAGCGCAACCCUUAUCCUUUGUUGCCAGCGGUCCGGCCGGGAACUCAAAGGAGACUGCCAGUGAUAAACUGGAGGAAGGUGGGGAUGACGUCAAGUCAUCAUGGCCCUUACGACCAGGGCUACACACGUGCUACAAUGGCGCAUACAAAGAGAAGCGACCUCGCGAGAGCAAGCGGACCUCAUAAAGUGCGUCGUAGUCCGGAUUGGAGUCUGCAACUCGACUCCAUGAAGUCGGAAUCGCUAGUAAUCGUGGAUCAGAAUGCCACGGUGAAUACGUUCCCGGGCCUUGUACACACCGCCCGUCACACCAUGGGAGUGGGUUGCAAAAGAAGUAGGUAGCUUAACCUUCGGGAGGGCGCUUACCACUUUGUGAUUCAUGACUGGGGUGAAGUCGUAACAAGGUAACCGUAGGGGAACCUGCGGUUGGAUCACCUCCUU